CCUACGGGCGGCAGCAGUGAGGAAUAUUGGUCAAUGGGCGGAAGCCUGAACCAGCCAAGCCGCGUGCAGGAAGACGGCCCCACGGGUCGUAAACUUCUUUUAUCGGGGAACAAAGCGCCCCACGUGUAGCGUUUUGCGUGUACCCGAAGAAAAAGCAUCGGCUAACUCCGUGCCAGCAGCCGCGGUAAUACGGAGGGUGCGAGCGUUAUCCGGAUUUAUUGGGUUUAAAGGGUGCGUAGGCGGUUCGGAAAGCCAGCGGUAAAAUGCCGGGGCUAAACCCCGGCCAGCCGUGGAAACUGUCGGACUAGAGACGGCGAGAAGCAGGCGGAAUGCGUGGUGUAGCGGUGAAAUGCAUAGAUAUGGCGAAGAACCCCGAUUGCGAAGGCAGCGUACCGGCGCCGGACUGACGCUGAGGCACGAAAGCGUGGGUAUCGAACAGGAUUAGAUACCCGUGUAGUC
This 459-nucleotide ribosomal RNA is filed under the name uncultured bacterium. RNAcentral's name for it is "partial 16S ribosomal RNA". It matches the Rfam family "Bacterial small subunit ribosomal RNA", at positions 338 to 795 of the family's 1533-position model. The record is from RNAcentral.